UCUCCAUGCCUGGACGACGCGACCAUAGCAAACGCCUUACGAAUGAAUCGGAUACUCGUGAACAGACAGUAAGUGCUUCGAGAGACGCUGUGCGCACACUUCUCGCUGCCGAAAGCCGUCUCGUCCAGGAUGCAUUGAAGCGGACACACACAGCCUGCAGCGAAGAACAACGCGACGGACAUUGCUCUACUCCACUUGGCAUCCUCUUAGACCCCCUCGUGAGCCUUGGCCGACGCCUGGCAAUGCUGGUUGGCUGCACUCGUAUCUGACGAGCCCGGCGACGUCUUGCUGCAGCGGUAGCCUUGAGUGCCAGCAUCAGCGCAGUUCCAUCCGUGCUGUUUGCACACGAGCCAGCUCCUCUCCAAGGCCUUCAGGAUCUCGAGGUCAACAGCCAGAGCUGGAUCAGGCCAAAAAUAAAAAUAAGCUUUAGGAAAAAAAUUAUAAAACAUGGAGAAAAAGAUAUUACACCCUGAAAAGUACAAAAUCAAAACCCUGGAUUCCUGAGCAGCAUUACUUUCUGCAGGUGCUAGGGCCAGUGACACAAGUUCAUGUGAGGUAAUAAAAUGCCUUAAUAUCAACCCAGUCGGACCUUUUCGGUUUCAAAGGAGAGGGCAACCCUAACUUGUCAGCAGUUGAGAUUAACAAGAAAGAUGUUAGAUCAUAUGCACAUUAUGCCAGGAUCUUUUUUGUUUGUGUGUUUGUGUCUGUGUGUGUAGGGGGGGUGCUCGAUGUCAACAUAUACGUUCUUGUAUCAGUUCUUGUAUCACUCCAGUAUGCUCUGACCUGUUCCUGGCAGUAGGCGAUUGUAAAUUAGCCCAGCAAAUGAAGGGCUUUGACAUAUUAGCUUGUUUUAGAUGCGUAGAUGGUUCCUCGAUAUACAAAUCAGGUUUGAAAUGCACCACAUGCGCUGGCAUUAUAACACUAUAGGAAAGAAAGAAAUCCCAAGCUUCUAGUGAAACCACUCGAAACUCAUCAAAU
Molecule: long non-coding RNA, 978 nt
Organism: Rhipicephalus sanguineus (brown dog tick)
Lineage: Eukaryota; Metazoa; Arthropoda; Arachnida; Ixodida; Ixodidae
Exons: 3
Source: RefSeq, a predicted model, not a curated record